Molecule: ribosomal RNA, 459 nt
Filed under: uncultured bacterium
Lineage: Bacteria
Description: partial 16S ribosomal RNA
Rfam family: Bacterial small subunit ribosomal RNA
Source: RNAcentral
CCUACGGGAUGCUGCAGUGAGGAAUAUUGGUCAAUGGGCGCGAGCCUGAACCAGCCAAGUCGCGUGAGGGAAGACGGUCCUAUGGAUUGUAAACCUCUUUUGUCGGGGAGCCAAAGACGCCACGCGUGGCGUUCCGAGAGUACCCGAAGAAAAAGCAUCGGCUAACUCCGUGCCAGCAGCCGCGGUAAUACGGAGGAUGCGAGCGUUAUCCGGAUUUAUUGGGUUUAAAGGGUGCGCAGGCGGAAGAUGAAGUCAGCGGUAAAAUUGAGAGGCUCAACCUCUUCGAGCCGUUGAAACUGGUUUUCGUGAGUGAGUGAGAAGUAUGCGGAAUGCGUGGUGUAGCGGUGAAAUGCAUAGAUAUCACGCAGAACUCCGAUUGCGAAGGCAGCAUACCGGCGCUCAACUGACGCUCAUGCACGAAAGUGUGGGUAUCGAACAGGAUUAGAUACCCGAGUAGUC